CUAUACAUGCAGUCGAGCGGACAGAAGGGAGCUUGCUCCCGGAUGUUAGCGGCGGACGGGUGAGUAACACGUGGGUAACCUGCCUGUAAGACUGGGAUAACUCCGGGAAACCGGAGCUAAUACCGGAUAGUUCCUUGAACCGCAUGGUUCAAGGAUGAAAGACGGUUUCGGCUGUCACUUACAGAUGGACCCGCGGCGCAUUAGCUAGUUGGUGGGGUAAUGGCUCACCAAGGCAACGAUGCGUAGCCGACCUGAGAGGGUGAUCGGCCACACUGGGACUGAGACACGGCCCAGACUCCUACGGGAGGCAGCAGUAGGGAAUCUUCCGCAAUGGACGAAAGUCUGACGGAGCAACGCCGCGUGAGUGAUGAAGGUUUUCGGAUCGUAAAGCUCUGUUGUUAGGGAAGAACAAGUGCGAGAGUAACUGCUCGCACCUUGACGGUACCUAACCAGAAAGCCACGGCUAACUACGUGCCAGCAGCCGCGGUAAUACGUAGGUGGCAAGCGUUGUCCGGAAUUAUUGGGCGUAAAGGGCUCGCAGGCGGUUUCUUAAGUCUGAUGUGAAAGCCCCCGGCUCAACCGGGGAGGGUCAUUGGAAACUGGGAAACUUGAGUGCAGAAGAGGAGAGUGGAAUUCCACGUGUAGCGGUGAAAUGCGUAGAGAUGUGGAGGAACACCAGUGGCGAAGGCGACUCUCUGGUCUGUAACUGACGCUGAGGAGCGAAAGCGUGGGGAGCGAACAGGAUUAGAUACCCUGGUAGUCCACGCCGUAAACGAUGAGUGCUAAGUGUUAGGGGGUUUCCGCCCCUUAGUGCUGCAGCUAACGCAUUAAGCACUCCG
RNAcentral lists this ribosomal RNA (839 nucleotides) under Bacillus pumilus. Its description in RNAcentral is "bacterial SSU rRNA". It matches the Rfam family "Bacterial small subunit ribosomal RNA", at positions 49 to 871 of the family's 1533-position model. The record is from RNAcentral. Lineage: Bacteria; Bacillati; Bacillota; Bacilli; Caryophanales; Bacillaceae.